GGCAAUCUCGUCACGCUGGACUCAGAUCUCAGUGCAGAAGAGCAAACCCUCGGACAAUGAGGUAGGUCUUCCUUCUUAACUCUAUCUAACAACACCUACAAUAAAGAAUCCUUACCUGUAUACCAAUCCACAUCAUGUGUGUUCAUUUAUGCAAAUAGAUGCGAAGCAGGGCAAACCAAUGGCGAUUUUUCUUUUUUCC
This 199-nucleotide long non-coding RNA is filed under the name Glycine max (soybean). RNAcentral's name for it is "long non-coding RNA (GMAX_LNC004671)". Lineage: Eukaryota; Viridiplantae; Streptophyta; Magnoliopsida; Fabales; Fabaceae. The record is from RNAcentral.